UACUGUAGGUAGGUGUAAAGGAUAGAUAAUAGACAGUAACAGCAGUAUACUGUAGGUAGGUGUAAAGGAUAGAUAAUAGACAGUAACAGCAGUAUACUGUAGGUAGGGGUAAAGGAUAGAUAAUAGACAGUAACAGCAGUAUACUGUAGGUAGGGGUAAAGGAUAGAUAAUAGACAGUAACAGCAGUAUACUGUAGGUAGGGGUAAAGGAUAGAUAAUAGACAGUAACAGCAGUAUACUGUAGGUAGGGGUAAAGGAUAGAUAAUAGACAGUAACAGCAGUAUACUGUAGGUAGGGGUAAAGGAUAGAUAAUAGACAGUAACAGCAGUAUACUGUAGGUAGGGGUAAAGGAUAGAUAAUAGACAGUAACAGCAGUAUACAGUAGGUAGGGGUAAAGGAUAGAUAAUAGACAGUAACAGCAGUAUACUGUAGGUAGGGGUAAAGGAUAGAUAAUAGACAGUAACAGCAGUAUACUGUAGGUUGGGGUAAAGGAUAGAUAAUAGACAGUAACAGCAGUAUA
Long non-coding RNA from Oncorhynchus keta (chum salmon), 519 nucleotides. RefSeq lists it as uncharacterized. Lineage: Eukaryota; Metazoa; Chordata; Actinopteri; Salmoniformes; Salmonidae. The transcript is spliced from 5 exons. The record is from RefSeq and is a predicted model, not a curated record.